GGCACCUGCAUCCAGCUAUGCCGCGUGAGUGAAGAAGGCCUUCGGGUUGUAAAGCUCUUUUGUCAGAGCAAGAAACACCGGCUCUAACACAGUCCGGNGAAUGACGGUACCUGAAGAAUAAGCACCGGCUAACUACGUGCCAGCAGCCGCGGUAAUACGUAGGGUGCGAGCGUUAAUCGGAAUUACUGGGCGUAAAGCGUGCGCAGGCGGUUAUACAAGACAGGCGUGAAAUCCCCGGGCUUAACCUGGGAAUGGCGCCUGUGACUGUAUAGCUAGAGUGUGUCAGAGGGGGGUAGAAUUCCACGUGUAGCAGUGAAAUGCGUAGAUAUGUGGAGGAAUACCAAUGGCGAAGGCAGACCCCUGGGAUAACACUGACGCUCAUGCACGAAAGCGUGGGGAGCAAACAGGAUUAGAUACCCUGGUAGUCCACGCCCUAAACGAUGCUGACUAGUUGUUCGGGAUUUACAUCCUGAGUAACGUAGCUAACGCGUGAAGUCAGCCGCCUGGGGAGUACGGUCGCAAGAUUAAAACUCAAAGGAAUUGACGGGGACCCGCACAAGCGGUGGAUGAUGUGGAUUAAUUCGAUGCAACGCAAAAAGCUUAACUACCCUUGACAUGUCUCUAACGAAGUAGAGAUACAUUACGUGCUCGUCAGAGAAAGUGGACACCGGUGCUGCAUUGGUGUCGUCAGGUCGUGGUGUGAGGAUGUCGGUUAGUUCCGGCACGGAC
This 729-nucleotide ribosomal RNA is filed under the name uncultured bacterium. RNAcentral's name for it is "bacterial SSU rRNA". It matches the Rfam family "Bacterial small subunit ribosomal RNA", at positions 377 to 1097 of the family's 1533-position model. The record is from RNAcentral.